RNAcentral lists this ribosomal RNA (451 nucleotides) under uncultured Gordonia sp. RNAcentral's name for it is "bacterial SSU rRNA". It matches the Rfam family "Bacterial small subunit ribosomal RNA", at positions 335 to 797 of the family's 1533-position model. The record is from RNAcentral. Lineage: Bacteria; Bacillati; Actinomycetota; Actinomycetes; Mycobacteriales; Gordoniaceae.
GGUCCUACGGGAGGCUGCAGUGGGGAAUAUUGCACAAUGGGCGCAAGCCUGAUGCAGCGACGCCGCGUGGGGGAUGACGGCCUUCGGGUUGUAAACUCCUUUCGCCAGGGACGAAGCGCAAGUGACGGUACCUGGAGAAGAAGCACCGGCCAACUACGUGCCAGCAGCCGCGGUAAUACGUAGGGUGCGAGCGUUGUCCGGAAUUACUGGGCGUAAAGAGCUCGUAGGCGGUUUGUCGCGUCGUCUGUGAAAUCCUGCAACUCAAUUGUAGGAGUGCAGGCGAUACGGGCAGACUUGAGUACUACAGGGGAGACUGGAAUUCCUGGUGUAGCGGUGAAAUGCGCAGAUAUCAGGAGGAACACCGGUGGCGAAGGCGGGUCUCUGGGUAGUAACUGACGCUGAGGAGCGAAAGCGUGGGGAGCAAACAGGAUUAGAUACCCCAGUAGUCACA